Long non-coding RNA from Cryptomeria japonica (Japanese cedar), 376 nucleotides. RefSeq lists it as uncharacterized. The record is from RefSeq and is a predicted model, not a curated record. NCBI's taxonomy places the organism in Eukaryota, Viridiplantae, Streptophyta, Pinopsida, Cupressales, Cupressaceae. The transcript has 2 exons.
CGUUAAUCAAGAUAUAGAGAGACUCCUGAAAGCUUUAAAUGGAGUUGAGAAAGUUGAUAUCAGUGGGAGAAGCAUCACCGUAAAGCAUAAUUAUAAUUCUAAAGACGGAUCUGAGUUUGUUAACGCGCUGAAGGGGCGUUUCAAGGCCUCAGUUGUGAAGCUCACCAAGGAGUAGAUUUGUGAAGCUUACAAAUAGAAAUAAAAUUGAGCUGAGCGUUGGAUAGACUUCUUGGCGAUUUGAGCAGUGUUUUAAUAAAGCGUUCAGUACUAUAAUAUUUGUAUUGUUUGUUCUUAAUAGAAUAUUAAAGAAAUAAUUAUCUUUAUGUAGACAAGGUUCAGAAACAUUUGAAAUUUAUAUAUCAUUUAACAUUAGUCA